CAUGGCUCAGAUUGAACGCUGGCGGCAGGCCUAACACAUGCAAGUCGAGCGGUAGCACAAGAGAGCUUGCUCUCUGGGUGACGAGCGGCGGACGGGUGAGUAAUGUCUGGGAAACUGCCUGAUGGCGGGGGAUAACUAGUGGAAACGGUAGCUAAUACCGCAUAACGUCGCAAGACCAAAGUGGGGGCCCUUCGGGCCUCACGCCAUCAGAUGUGCCCAGGUGGGAUUAGCUGGUAGGUGAGGUAACGGCUCACCUAGGCGACGAUCCCUAGCUGGUCUGAGAGGAUGACCAGCCACACUGGAACUGAGACACGGUCCAGACUCCUACGGGAGGCAGCAGUGGGGAAUAUUGCACAAUGGGCGCAAGCCUGAUGCAGCCAUGCCGCGUGUGUGAAGAAGGCCUUCGGGUUGUAAAGCACUUUCAGCGAGGAGGAAGGGUAAUGUGU
This 446-nucleotide ribosomal RNA is filed under the name Serratia symbiotica. RNAcentral describes it as "bacterial SSU rRNA". It matches the Rfam family "Bacterial small subunit ribosomal RNA", at positions 18 to 460 of the family's 1533-position model. The record is from RNAcentral. Lineage: Bacteria; Pseudomonadati; Pseudomonadota; Gammaproteobacteria; Enterobacterales; Yersiniaceae.